Molecule: ribosomal RNA, 676 nt
Filed under: Cryobacterium sp. N4_98_4
Lineage: Bacteria; Bacillati; Actinomycetota; Actinomycetes; Micrococcales; Microbacteriaceae
Description: bacterial SSU rRNA
Rfam family: Bacterial small subunit ribosomal RNA
Source: RNAcentral
GUCGAACGAUGAUGGAGAGCUUGCUCUUUGGAUUAGUGGCGAACGGGUGAGUAACACGUGAGCAAUCUGCCCUUGACUCUGGGAUAAGCGUUGGAAACGACGUCUAAUACCGGAUACGACCUGGGAAGGCAUCUUCCUGGGUGGAAAGAAUUUUGGUCAGGGAUGAGCUCGCGGCCUAUCAGCUAGUUGGUGAGGUAAUGGCUCACCAAGGCGACGACGGGUAGCCGGCCUGAGAGGGUGACCGGCCACACUGGGACUGAGACACGGCCCAGACUCCUACGGGAGGCAGCAGUGGGGAAUAUUGCACAAUGGGCGAAAGCCUGAUGCAGCAACGCCGCGUGAGGGACGACGGCCUUCGGGUUGUAAACCUCUUUUAGUAGGGAAGAAGCGAGGUGUUUAUUCACUUCAUGACGGUACCUGCAGAAAAAGCACCGGCUAACUACGUGCCAGCAGCCGCGGUAAUACGUAGGGUGCAAGCGUUGUCCGGAAUUAUUGGGCGUAAAGAGCUCGUAGGCGGUUUGUCGCGUCUGCUGUGAAAACCCGAGGCUCAACCUCGGGCCUGCAGUGGGUACGGGCAGACUAGAGUGCGGUAGGGGAGAUUGGAAUUCCUGGUGUAGCGGUGGAAUGCGCAGAUAUCAGGAGGAACACCAAUGGCGAAGGCAGAUCUCUGGGCCGU